UUUCCGUAGGUGAACCUGCGGAAGGAUCAUUAUCGAGUUUUGACCGGGUUGUAGCUGGCCUUCCGAGGCAUGUGCACGCCCUGCUCAUCCACUCUACACCUGUGCACUUACUGUGGGCUUCAGAUUGCGAGGCACGCUCUUUACCGGGCUUGCGGAGCAUAUCUGUGCCUGCGUUUAUCACAAACUCUAUAAAGUAACAGAAUGUGUAUUGCGAUGUAACACAUCUAUAUACAACUUUCAGCAACGGAUCUCUUGGCUCUCGCAUCGAUGAAGAACGCAGCGAAAUGCGAUAAGUAAUGUGAAUUGCAGAAUUCAGUGAAUCAUCGAAUCUUUGAACGCACCUUGCGCUCCUUGGUAUUCCGAGGAGCAUGCCUGUUUGAGUGUCAUGAAAUCUUCAACCUACAAGCUUUUGUGGUUUGUAGGCUUGGACUUGGAGGCUUGUCGGCCGUUAUCGGUCGGCUCCUCUUAAAUGCAUUAGCUUGGUUCCUUGCGGAUCGGCUCUCGGUGUGAUAAUGUCUACGCCGCGACCGUGAAGCGUUUGGCGAGCUUCUAACCGUCUUAUAAGACAGCUUUAUGACCUCUGACCUCAAAUCAGGUAGGACUACC
RNAcentral lists this ribosomal RNA (606 nucleotides) under Ganoderma sichuanense. Its description in RNAcentral is "eukaryotic LSU rRNA". The stretch from base 233 to 386 matches the Rfam family "5.8S ribosomal RNA". Lineage: Eukaryota; Fungi; Basidiomycota; Agaricomycetes; Polyporales; Polyporaceae. The record is from RNAcentral.